UACGGAGGGGGCAAGCGUUGUUCGGAUUUACUGGGCGUAAAGGGUGUGUAGGCGGUUGCGCAAGUCUGGUGUGAAAUCUUCACCGCUUAACGGGAAGAGGUCACUGGAAACUGCGUAACUCGAGUGUGGUAGAGGCAAGCGGAAUUCCUGGUGUAGCGGUGGAAUGCGCAGAUAUCAGGAGGAACACCAAUAGCGAAGGCAGCUCGCUGGGACGGUAUUGACGCUGAGGCGCGAAAGCGUGGGGAGCAAACAGG
This 254-nucleotide ribosomal RNA is filed under the name uncultured bacterium. Its description in RNAcentral is "partial 16S ribosomal RNA". It matches the Rfam family "Bacterial small subunit ribosomal RNA", at positions 524 to 776 of the family's 1533-position model. The record is from RNAcentral.